AUUGAACGCUGGCGGCAGGCUUAACACAUGCAAGUCGAGCGGGGGAAGGUAGCUUGCUACCGGACCUAGCGGCGGACGGGUGAGUAAUGCUUAGGAAUCUGCCUAUUAGUGGGGGACAACAUCUCGAAAGGGAUGCUAAUACCGCAUACGUCCUACGGGAGAAAGCAGGGGAUCUUCGGACCUUGCGCUAAUAGAUGAGCCUAAGUCGGCUUAGCUAGUUGGUGGGGUAAAGGCCUACCAAGGCGACGAUCUGUAGCGGGUGGGAGAGGAUGCUCCGCCGCAGUGGGACGCAGACACGGCCCAGACCCCUACGGGGCGCAGGAGUGGGGAAUAUUUGACCAGGGGGGGAACCCUGAUCCAGCCAGGCCGCGUGUGUGAAGAUGGCCUUAUGGUUGUAAAGCACUUUAAGCGAGGAGGAGGCUACUUUAGUUAAUACCUAGAGAUAGUGGACGUUACUCGCAGAAUAAGCACCGGCUAACUCUGUGCCAGCCGCCGCCGCUG
This 501-nucleotide ribosomal RNA is filed under the name uncultured bacterium. RNAcentral's name for it is "partial 16S ribosomal RNA". It matches the Rfam family "Bacterial small subunit ribosomal RNA", at positions 30 to 523 of the family's 1533-position model. The record is from RNAcentral.